UGGGAAGCUUUAGGCACAAACAUAGGCACUGCAGGCUUGCACUUUCGCCACCUUGUGCAGUUAUAUGGAAAACAUUGGGCAGCCUUGUGCACUUUUUAGAUACUUUGCUUUAAUUUUGGGCAUACACUUGUGCAUAUUGUUCGGCCACUUAGUAAUAGUUGUAAAUCGCGUUACACACUAUUCUUAUGUGUAGCGUAAGUUCCAAGGUCCUCCUUGUAAGGUGAAACCUCUGGGAUCGGAAGGGAAAAAGAUUUUUUUUAUGUUGAAGGGGGAGGGACGAAUCGAAGCGACA
RNAcentral lists this long non-coding RNA (292 nucleotides) under Actinidia chinensis (golden kiwifruit). Its description in RNAcentral is "long non-coding RNA (ACHI_LNC008104)". The record is from RNAcentral. Lineage: Eukaryota; Viridiplantae; Streptophyta; Magnoliopsida; Ericales; Actinidiaceae.